RNAcentral lists this ribosomal RNA (497 nucleotides) under uncultured bacterium. Its description in RNAcentral is "partial 16S ribosomal RNA". It matches the Rfam family "Bacterial small subunit ribosomal RNA", at positions 28 to 507 of the family's 1533-position model. The record is from RNAcentral.
GAUGAACGCUGGCGGCGUGCCUAAUACAUGCAAGUCGAGCGAACGGACGAGAAGCUUGCUUUUCUGAUGUUAGCGGCGGACGGGUGAGUAACACGUGGAUAACCUACCUAUAAGAUUGGGAUAACUUCGGGAAACCGGAGCUAAUACCGGAUAAUAUUUUGAACCGCAUGGUUCAAAAGUGAAAGACGGUCUUGCUGUCACUUAUAGAUGGAUCCGCGCUGCAUUAGCUAGUUGGUAAGGUAACGGCUUACCAAGGCAACGAUGCAUAGCCGACCUGAGAGGGUGAUCGGCCACACUGGAACUGAGACACGGUCCAGACUCCUACGGGAGGCAGCAGUAGGGAAUCUUCCGCAAUGGGCGAAAGCCUGACGGAGCAACGCCGCGUGAGUGAUGAAGGUCUUCGGAUCGUAAAACUCUGUUAUUAGGGAAGAACAUAUGUGUAAGUAACUGUGCACAUCUUGACGGUACCUAAUCAGAAAGCCACGGCUAACUACGUG